CUGAAUAUACAACAGUAUAUGAUCGGUUCCACUCUGAAAGAUAACAAUUGCAUGCAAAAAAUUAAGACCACCACUGUUUUAUUCAGGAAACUGCCUGUCAAUAAUAUGGAACUAAUGUAAUGUCACAACACAUCUCCGAUUCGAAACAUGCAGAAACAAUUUUGUCUGAACAGUUUACAGGCAUAGUCAAAGUAAUAGUACAACAUAACUGAAGAUUUUCCAAACACGCAACAUUCAAACUACAUGAGCACAUUUCAACACUAUUUUUUUUUCAAAUCAGCCUUCAUUCAUUCUUAGCUCCGGUGUUUUGUUCUAGUUGUUUCGACCGUGACCUUCUACCCCACAAUUCUUGCAGUGCGCAGGUUUCCGAGCUUGGUUUGGAACAUCUCCACAAUCUGGGCAUGUCGUCCGCUUGUGCUCUGCCGCCAAUAAAUGAUUCAAAAUCUUGUUUUCUUGAUGAAACCUCUGUAUGGCACCUUUUAUCUGCUAUGUACCAACCGUUGUCCAUGGAAUUGGAACGCUGCAGCCUUAUCAGAGCAGGGCACUCACAACGACAAGACUUAGUGUUCUCCACGAACGCCUUCCCCUGAUGCCCAUUUGUACACAAUGAGAAAUAAGUUUAGUAAUGAACAAUUCAGUAGCUAGCAGUGUUCAGCAAUACCAAAGCAUUUUUUACAUACAGCGCGGCCACAGACUAUUUUUUGCAUGCAUUUCUUGCAUGCAUUUCUCCCAAGAGUAUAUGUUGUGAAGAUCAUAGGCUUCAUCCGAAGUAUCAAAACUUGUCCCCAAUUUUGGCACAAUUACAUUAUCUACAAGAUUUUUAGCAGAACCACGGAUUGCUUUCUCCAGUGCAAAAAUACCAGACACUGUGUCCUGCCUGCCGCGGCAGCAUAAAUCCUAACUCUGCGAGCAAAUAACACUAUUUUUUGAUAAAAUUGCAAAUGCAAGGCAGUUUCAUAAGUAUCCCAGAAACCGGCCAGAACACUUUCACUUAGUUUCCCCAUUUUCUCCAGUGCAAAAAUCAUCCUAUUAGGGCAUGGCGCCCUGCCUGGCUCGGCAACCCCAAUUGUGACUCUGGGUGUAAAUCACGGUGUUCAGACAGAAACGGAUAACGAACAAAUGCAAAUUACUCUCCUCAUCCAAAUGUAAAUCACAGUGUUCAGACAAAAAUAGUCGAUGCAAACAUAAAGCCAGAAAAAACUAGAUUGCGGAGCUAUCACAUACAGCAAAGACUCUAAAUUACUCCCUGAUUAAAAAUUCAGCCUGGCUCAAGCAGCACGCAGGCACAAACACCAUACAGGAAAUCAAUUAUUUGCCCACAGCGCACCAGCCAUAGUGCAAAAAUAACCGUUAAGUGUUUCAACUCUUGGUCAUUCAAACACACACCACGAACUAUGUCACACAGAAUCUAAAUCGUCACAAAGCCAUACCUUUGCGUUCACCUAGCAGCUUUGAG
Molecule: long non-coding RNA, 1456 nt
Filed under: Triticum aestivum (bread wheat)
Lineage: Eukaryota; Viridiplantae; Streptophyta; Magnoliopsida; Poales; Poaceae
Description: long non-coding RNA (TAES_LNC015269)
Source: RNAcentral